UACGUAGGGUGCAGGCGUUAAUCGGAAUUACUGGGCGUAAAGCGUGCGCAGGCGGCUCCUUAAGUCAGAUGUGAAAUCCCCGGGCUUAACCUGGGAACUGCGUUUGAAACUGGGGAGCUCGAGUGUGGAAGAGGGGGGUGGAAUUCCAGGUGUAGCAGUGAAAUGCGUAGAGAUCUGGAGGAACACCGAUGGCGAAGGCAGCCCCCUGGGCUAACACUGACGCUCAUGCACGAAAGCGUGGGGAGCAAACAGGAUUAGAUACCCCCGUAGUCC
This 273-nucleotide ribosomal RNA is filed under the name uncultured bacterium. RNAcentral describes it as "partial 16S ribosomal RNA". It matches the Rfam family "Bacterial small subunit ribosomal RNA", at positions 524 to 796 of the family's 1533-position model. The record is from RNAcentral.